RNAcentral lists this ribosomal RNA (253 nucleotides) under uncultured bacterium. RNAcentral's name for it is "partial 16S ribosomal RNA". It matches the Rfam family "Bacterial small subunit ribosomal RNA", at positions 524 to 775 of the family's 1533-position model. The record is from RNAcentral.
UACGGGGGGGAGCAAGCGUUGUUCGGAUUUACUGGGCGUAAAGGGCGCGUAGGCGGCCACCGCAAGUCGGUUGUGAAAUCUCUGGGCUUAACCCAGAAAGGUCAACCGAUACUGCGGGGCUAGAGUGCAGAAGGGGCAACUGGAAUUCUCGGUGUAGCGGUGAAAUGCGUAGAGAUCGGGAGGAACACCAGAGGCGAAGGCGGCGACCUGGACAGAUACUGACACUCAACACGAAAGCGUGGGGAGCAACAGG